CUUAACUUUACUGAAUACAGAAUCAUACAAGCUUCAUAGUUAGGCCAGAAAUUCUGAAAUGAAACCCAUUGGUGGUAAGAAAAUACUGGCAGGUCUGUGCCUGGAGGAUAGGUCUUAAAAUAAAUUAUAGAGAAAAUCAAGGCAAUUAAAUCAAAGCCACGUCAGUCACGUCAAACAAGGCGGCCAGCAUUUGACUCAUGAAUAUGCAACGAAUGGAUGAGUGUGGCAAGGAGUGUUGUCGGAUGAGUGCGAGUGUUUGGAUGUUCGAGUGUUCGACUGUUUGAGUGUGUAUGAAUAGACACCGGAGAAAGGGACUCGGCCAAAUGGGGCAGCGUUUUCGUGAUUGAAUUCAUUGAUGAACAACAACACUAGGGCGGGAGACACAGCUACUUCGUUUAUGCGCAGACGAAUUUCCAGAACUAACAUCUAAAGGUUAUUACAAAUCUUAGGAAACCAAAACCUAGCCCCUUUCAAUCUUCCUUUUCAACUGAUUAUGAGCAACUUUUAUGGUGUCAUGGACCAACCAUGUUUCAAGGAUUGGCACCCUCCGCAUAAACUGGUUACCAGAGGCGGAGCAGAGUUGAUGACAGUCAUCAGGAUUACAAUGCACGUGAUAUAGGUCAAUCCUGGGAUUUUUACCUGCAUUUAUAUACCAUUUAGGCUGUAGCAAACAGGAAUAUUGUAGAUGUAUUUAUUUGGGAAACGCUAAAUGUGAAUUCAUGUGAAUUUCAG
Drosophila serrata is the source of this 732-nucleotide long non-coding RNA. The record is from RefSeq and is a predicted model, not a curated record. Lineage: Eukaryota; Metazoa; Arthropoda; Insecta; Diptera; Drosophilidae.